CGGCGAGUGAAGCGGCAACAGCUCAAAUUUGAAAUCUGUCCCUUUUAGGGACCGAGUUGUAAUUUGUAGAGGGUGCUUCGGGGUUGGUCCCGGUCUAAGUUCCUUGGAACAGGACGUCAUAGAGGGUGAGAAUCCCGUACGUGGCCGGUGGCCCUCCCCAUGUGAAGCCCCUUCGACGAGUCGAGUUGUUUGGGAAUGCAGCUCUAAAUGGGAGGUAUAUUUCUUCUAAAGCUAAAUAUCGGCCGGAGACCGAUAGCGCACAAGUAGAGUGAUCGAAAGAUGAAAAGCACUUUGAAAAGAGAGUCAAACAGUACGUGAAAUUGUUGAAAGGGAAGCGCUUGCGACCAGACUUGCCCGCAGUUGCUCAACCGGCCUUCUGGCUCGGUGCACUCUUCUGCGGUCAGGCCAGCAUCGGUUCGGGCGGUCGGAUAAAGACCUUGGGAAUGUGGCUCCCCUAGGGGAGUGUUAUAGCCCUUGGUGCAAUGCGGCCAGCCUGGACCGAGGACCGCGCUUCGGCUAGGAUGCUGGCGUAAUGGUCGUAAGCGGCCCGUCUUGAAACACGGACCAAGGAGUCUAACAUCUAUGCGAGUGUUUGGGUGUUAAACCCAUACGCGUAAUGAAAGUGAACGGAGGUGGGAACCUUUGGGUGCACCAUCGACCGAUCCCGAUGUCUUCGGAAGGAUUUGAGUAAGAGCAUAGCUGUUGGGACCCGAAAGAUGGUGAACUAUACCUGAAUAGGGUGAAGCCAGAGGAAACUCUGGUGGAGGCUCGCAGCGGUUCUGACGUGCAAAUCGAUCGUCAAAUUUGGGUAUAGGGGCGAAAGACUAAUCGAACCAUUGCUACUAGGUGGUCAAAAGGCGAGCCCUGAGGGCCCGCCUAGUCCCUCACCCGGGGCUACACUACUAAAUUGCGGGGACACCCAGGUCGGCUCAGACAACCGCGGCCCCCCCGAAAGGGAGGAGCGCAGCACCGAGUCCAUUGCUCGGGGGAGGUAACAUCGUCUGAGAUCGGGUAACCGCGCAGCCAAGUCCUAAAGCCCGCCCUGAGCUGGGUAAGGAUGCAGUCCACAGACCAAAUGGUAGUGGGUGCAAGUCAAUUUGCUUGCGCUUAAGAUAUGGUCGAACCGCCCCGAAAGGGGACUGAUGGGAGAAAGUUCAUGGAGCGUGGUGCGGCCCCAAAGGUCGGCUCUGUGAACCCGAGCCCCGUCAGGAAAGUGG
RNAcentral lists this ribosomal RNA (1217 nucleotides) under Patellaria chromolaenae. Its description in RNAcentral is "Patellaria sp. AM-2020a partial large subunit ribosomal RNA". It matches the Rfam family "Eukaryotic large subunit ribosomal RNA", at positions 87 to 1403 of the family's 3401-position model. The record is from RNAcentral. Lineage: Eukaryota; Fungi; Ascomycota; Dothideomycetes; Patellariales; Patellariaceae.